RNAcentral lists this ribosomal RNA (780 nucleotides) under Bdellovibrio sp. YJCL. RNAcentral's name for it is "bacterial SSU rRNA". It matches the Rfam family "Bacterial small subunit ribosomal RNA", at positions 43 to 848 of the family's 1533-position model. The record is from RNAcentral. Lineage: Bacteria; Pseudomonadati; Bdellovibrionota; Bdellovibrionia; Bdellovibrionales; Pseudobdellovibrionaceae.
CAGGCCUAACACAUGCAAGUCGAACGGGGUAGCAAUACCUAGUGGCGCACGGGUGAGUAACGCGUGGAUAAUCUGCCUUGGAGUGGGGGAUAACUAGUCGAAAGAUUAGCUAAUACCGCAUAAGACCACAGGAGCUGCGGCUCUAGGGGUCAAAGGUUUUUCGUUCCAAGAUGAGUCCGCGUAAGAUUAGCUAGUUGGUGAGGUAAUGGCUCACCAAGGCGACGAUCUUUAACUGGUCUGAGAGGAUGAUCAGUCACACUGGAACUGAGACACGGUCCAGACUCCUACGGGAGGCAGCAGUAGGGAAUAUUGCACAAUGGAGGAAACUCUGAUGCAGCGACGCCGCGUGAGUGAUGAAGGCCUUCGGGUCGUAAAGCUCUGUCGCAGGGGAAUAACACAAUGAAUGUACCCUGUAAGAAAGGAUCGGCUAACUUCGUGCCAGCAGCCGCGGUAAGACGAGGGAUCCUAGCGUUGUUCGGAAUUAUUGGGCGUAAAGCGGAUGUAGGUGGCUUUGUAAGUCAGAUGUGAAAGCCCAGGGCUCAACCCUGGAAGUGCAUUUGAUACUGCGAAGCUUGAGUGUCGGAGAGGUUACUAGAAUUGUUGGUGUAGUGGUGAAAUACGUAGAUAUCAACAGGAAUACCGGAGGCGAAGGCGGGUAACUGGCCGAACACUGACACUGAGAUCCGAAAGCGUGGGGAUCAAACAGGAUUAGAUACCCUGGUAGUCCACGCCGUACACAAUGGAUACUUGUUGUUGGAGGUAUUGACCCCUUCAGUGACG